GAUGAACGCUGGCGGCGUGCCUAAUACAUGCAAGUCGAGCGAAUGGAUUAAGAGCUUGCUCUUAUGAAGUUAGCGGCGGACGGGUGAGUAACACGUGGGUAACCUGCCCAUAAGACUGGGAUAACUCCGGGAAACCGGGGCUAAUACCGGAUAACAUUUUGAACCGCAUGGUUCGAAAUUGAAAGGCGGCUUCGGCUGUCAAUUAUGGAUGGACCCGCGUCGCAUUAGCUAGUUGGUGAGGUAACGGCUCACCAAGGCAACGAUGAGUAGCCGACCUGAGAGGGUGAUCGGCCACACUGGGACUGAGACACGGCCCCGACUCCUACGGGAGGCAGCAGUAGGGAAUCUUCCGCAAUGGACGAAAGUCUGACGGAGCAACGCCGCGUGAGUGAUGAAGGCUUUCGGGUCGUAAAACUCUGUUGUUAGGGAAGAACAAGUGCUAGUUGAAUAAGCUGACACCUUGACGGUACCUAACCAGAAAGCCACGGCUAACUACGUGCCAGCCGCCGCCGUAA
This 515-nucleotide ribosomal RNA is filed under the name uncultured bacterium. Its description in RNAcentral is "partial 16S ribosomal RNA". It matches the Rfam family "Bacterial small subunit ribosomal RNA", at positions 28 to 523 of the family's 1533-position model. The record is from RNAcentral.